This 495-nucleotide ribosomal RNA is filed under the name uncultured bacterium. Its description in RNAcentral is "partial 16S ribosomal RNA". It matches the Rfam family "Bacterial small subunit ribosomal RNA", at positions 30 to 523 of the family's 1533-position model. The record is from RNAcentral.
AUUGAACGCUGGCGGAAUGCUUUACACAUGCAAGUCGAACGGUAGGGGGGCAACCCCUUGAGAGUGGCGAACGGGUGAGUAAUAUAUCGGAACGUGCCCAGUCGUGGGGGAUAACGUAGUGAAAAUUACGCUAAUACCGCAUACGAUCUAAGGAUGAAAGCGGGGGAUCGCAAGACCUCGCGCGAUUGGAGCGGCCGAUAUCAGAUUAGGUAGUUGGUGGGGUAAAGGCCCACCAAGCCAACGAUCUGUAGCUGGUCUGAGAGGACGACCAGCCACACUGGAACGGAGACACGGUCCAGACUCCUACGGGAGGCAGCAGUGGGGAAUUUUGGACAAUGGGCGAAAGCCUGAUCCAGCCAUUCCGCGUGCAGGAUGAAGGCCCUCGGGUUGUAAACUGCUUUUGUACAGAACGAAAAGGUUUCUACUAAUACUAGGAGCUCAUGACGGUACUGUAAGAAUAAGCACCGGCUAACUACGUGCCAGCAGCCGCCGUAA